Molecule: long non-coding RNA, 1100 nt
Organism: Dreissena polymorpha
Lineage: Eukaryota; Metazoa; Mollusca; Bivalvia; Myida; Dreissenidae
Exons: 2
Source: RefSeq, a predicted model, not a curated record
CAUUGGCCAUAACUUUUUCAAUAUUGAAGAUAGCAACUUGAUAUUUGGCAUGCAUGUGUAUCUCAUGGAGCUGAACAUUUUGAGUGGUGAAAGGUGAAGGUGAAGGUCAUCCUUCAAGGUCAAAUGUCAAAUAUAUGGCGUCUGUCCGUCCGGAAACUUUAACAUUGGCUUUAACUUUUUUAAUAUUAAUGAUAUUAAUGAAACAUGAUUCAGUUUUUUGAAAAUAAUGUAUAUUUUAGUGUUAAAAUCGCUUUGUAUUUUGAUUGAUUUUGUGGAUGUUAUGAUACGUUAAUGUACAAAAUUGGUAGCAGUUUGAAGGAAAAAUCCUUUAAAGCAUAUAUGUAUACAUUUUCAAUGUGGCACUCUUCCUUUAGUCAAAUUUGAGUUCAAUGCUAGGGGUCCCACAUUUUUCAAAAUGAAGCCUCUACAUGAACCUUAAAAAGAAAAAUACAUGAGCGGUCUGCGCCCGCAAGGCGUUGCUCUUAUUUUAUAUUGCCACCACGGGUCGAAAGAUGUCUUUUGAAGGAAGCGUUGUCGUCUCAAGCCAUGGGCACGGAGAAUAGACUUGAAACCGAACCGGAGGUAACGGCGUCGGUUAUAUAAAACGAAACGUGGAAUCGUCUGAGCGGAUUUUAAGUGUUGUCGAGAAUUACGAGCUCCAUUAGAAACCGACAUCGUCAUGGCUGGGACUUAACAGCGUACGGCACACCGUCAGUCUGUCCAAUGGUCUACUUAGUUCGGCUCCCGACGACAGUUUCCUGCGUAAUUGACUGUACCAGUGUUAAGAGAAUUUGCUAGACUUUGAUCAGUAAACUUUUGUUAAUAUUGGUUGUUUUCGGGUACAAUUUUCCAGAGUUAUUUUACAUUCAGUGAAGUUUUAUCUCUGGUUUUAACUCUGGCCUUGAAAACACCAUUUUAGGAUAACGAAUAGAAGUGAUGUAAAGGCAUAGUUUCCACGAACACACUUCCCGCUUGUCACGGGGGAUAGACAUUAUGUACUUAAAUUUCCUGCCGUUCUCGAGGGAACCUGUAUAAUACAAUGAAUCCCAGCCUUGACAUUAUUAUGCCAAACCUUUAAGGUAAUAAAUUUCGUAGUUGAA